RNAcentral lists this long non-coding RNA (6304 nucleotides) under Solanum tuberosum (potato). RNAcentral describes it as "long non-coding RNA (STUB_LNC007608)". Lineage: Eukaryota; Viridiplantae; Streptophyta; Magnoliopsida; Solanales; Solanaceae. The record is from RNAcentral.
CUCUCCCCAUUUUCCAAUUAUAUGCCCUCUCCAUUUCCCGUACACCAAAACACACCCUAGAGUCUCUAUGUUUUCUUUUUGCAAAUUCAUUAUGGUCUUCACUUUUGUCAUUCUCUCAAGUCUCAAUAUGCUUGCUUUAUGUGGAUCUCUUUAGGGAUAUGUCAGUUACUUUUCAAGGUAAGAUCUAAUAUAUUCGUCCCAGUUUACAAUUUAUGUCCAUAUUUUUUUUAGUCCGUUAUCUAAAAAAAAGUAUCAUAUUUUUGUUAUUGAAAAUAAUUUAAAUUUUUCUUCUUUAAUAAAAUUAUUUAUAUAGUCAAACUAAUGGUUAAAGAAUAUUUUGAUCACAGAUCUUUGUUAAACUUUUUAUCAAAUAAAAUAAUGUCACAUAAAUUAAAACGCGGAGAGUAAUUUAUUUAUUAUUUCCUUCCCACUCACCCAACUCCCCAAACUCCUACCCAUUGACCAUCCCAUCCCAACCCCCCUUCUUCCACUCCUAUAGUAUUUUGUUAGCUACCUUAACUUCGAUGCACCUUGUUGGUAAGGAUUCGAUUCUUCACAUUGUAAUUCUCUUCCCAUUUUCCGAUUAUAUGCCCUCCCCAUUUCUCGUUCCCGUACCCCAAAACACACUUUAGAGUCUCUAUGUUUUCUUUUUGCAAAUUCAUUAUGGUCUUCCCUUUGUCAUUCUCUCAAAUCUCAACAUGCUUGCUUUAUGUGGAUCUCUUUAGGGAUAUGUCAACUACUUUUCAAGGUAAGAUCUAAUAUAUUCGUCCCAAUUUACAAUUUAUGUGCUAUAUUUUUUUUAGUCCGUUAUCCAAAAAAAGUAUCAUAUUUUUGUUAUUGAAAAUAAUUUAAUUUUUCUUCUUUAAUAAAAUGAUUUAUAUAGUCAAACUAAUGGUUAAAGAAUAUUUUGAUCACAAAUUUAAAAGUCUUCAAUUCUUUGUUAAUUUUUUUGUCAAAAAAAUAAUGUCACAUAAAUUAAAACGCAGGGAGUAAUUUAUUUCUCUCCUUGUAUCCAAAAAUAGUGAGUUGCUAUAUAUAUGCACAAACUUUUAUUUAUUUCAUCUUAUUUUCCUAUGUCAUAGAUCAAACCAUUACAAUAUGCUUGUGUGGACCAUUUUUUGUAGUGAAUCUUUGCUGUAAAUUAACGAGGGACUACUUGUUCUUUUAUAUCUUUUUCCCAUAGAGAAUAUGAUGCAGUCACAAUUACUUUUAUGAGAUUCUUACACUGAGUCAUAUACUGAAUGGUCCAUAUAUAUAAUAAAGUUAUUCCCCAAGAAACAGAAACAAAAUUUUCCAUCAUAUCUUUAAUUAUAGAUUCCACAAAGGUUCAAUUAUAGCAAAUAAAAGUUCAAGAAUAAUUUAGUGGUGGCGUAAUGGUGGAUUGGAUUGAUUUUGGACGGGUUAAAAAUGAGUUCAUAUAAAAUGGAUAAUAAUCGAGUAUGUCUAUAUUUUAUUUGAAGGUUGUUAGAUAGUUAACAUUAUGUCGAAAUUAGGUCUUUUAGCUAUAUUUUGACUAUUUACAAUUUGUAGACAUUACUGCUUGAUGUUAAAAGAUACUUCGAAUACAAAUAACAUUUAAUGCGGUGCAUCAACUGUGGAACAAUAUUUUUUUAAGAAAGAAAUUCAGCAUAAAUCACGUUCUUUGAUAUCUCGAUCUUUCAUAAUCAAUGGACCUCUAAAAUAUCAUAAGAUCAUUUCCAUAAUAAAAUAAAGUGGAUUGCACUUUGCACUAUAGAGUCUCUUCUUCUUCUUUUUUGAUUUCGUUGUAUCAUUGACUAUUACGUGUACAACAUUGAUAUACUUGAAUAUGUUGAUACAAGAUUAAUAUAAAUAUACUCUAGAGAUGAAUACACUAUAAAAACACUCGAAUAUAAAAAUAUAAAUCUAUAAUUGUAAAUAUAUACACUCAAAUGCAUGACACAAAUGUAUGAUAAGGAACUAAUACUGUCACGCCCUGAGCCUACACCUUGGACAUGGCCGGUACUUGAGAACCAUCAUUGGUCCCCAAGCAAACCCUUGACCUGGCUGAAUACUGUAGCGGAAGACUUACUCAAGUAAAAUGGGACUCCAAAUACCAAGAUUAACUCAUAAUGUCUCAAACAACUUAACUCAACUUAGUAAAUAUCAGGAAAUGCUUAAAUAAACAUAAAGUGACUCAAAGUCUCAAAAUAUUAACAAGGUAAAAUGUGAGAGACUCUUCAACAUCUAAACUAUCUAUGAAGCCUCUAAAACUACGAUAGAUUUCGGGACAAGAUCCUCAACAACUUAACAAAGCAGAAAUAAUAAUGUGAUGCCCUCCGGAAAGCAAGAAGGUUCACCAAAGCUAGCUGGAGUGCAAAUGGUAUCAACAAAACGCCUAUUGAUGACCCUAAACACCUGUGUUUGCAUCAUAAAAACAUGCAGGUCGAAUGACGUUAGUACAUUAAAUGUACGAGCAUGCAAGGGAAAAACUGAGACAUAGAUAAUUGAACUGAUAACAUGGGAAGAUAAUACUCACCUCAACUCAACUCCAAUAUGAAAACAAUAAUAAGAGAUGCAAUAUUAAAAGCAUUUAAAACAGUAGAUAACAACUCAAAGUGUAUAAAAAUACAAUAAUAUACUAUUUACUCUUAUUUUGGGAGAUUCUCGAACCGACAACCAUCAUUAUGAGCUACCUGAUGAUACAGUGUCUCGCCCACGCUGCCAGAACUGUCCUAUAACUUGGCGGGGUAUAUAACACUUCAACUAAGUGGAUUCCACUAAGCUAUGCUUAAAAGCAAUAAGGAAUCGUCUAAAAAGUACGACUCUUUACCCAUGGUGGCUACAUGAUUUAUGAGAAAUGUGAGUUGUUUGAACUCAUCCACAUAUCAGUGCUCAAUACUACUCCCAAAAAUAUAUAAACUCAGGCUCAAUGUAUUAAACAUAACUUUCUCUUAAUUUGAGGUAAUUACUCAAAAGAUCCUCUUAAAAGAGGUAAUACUCAGAACAUUCUCUAAACUCAUAACUAAUUUAGAAAUUGACGUUUCUCUCUUUAAAAAUGUAAAAAUGUUACAAUCGGGAAUACUUAGUUCCCUAAUACUCAUUUUUGAAACAUGAAACAUAACUCUCUUCAUUCUCAUACUCAUUUACUCAAGACUUAGUUCAAAUCUAUAGUUAAUUGCGAAAGACUUCUCAAAAUGAUCAAAAAGGGACCUCUUGAACUUUCCUUUUAACUUUACUUUAAUUUGAAAUGUAAAUUAAGACAUGUGAUUAGGACAUGUAGGAUCUCUCAAGGAUUAAUAAAGACUUCAAGAGUUUAAAACAAGAAGAGAACGUAGACAUGAUUCGAAAGAAUGCAUACAGAAUGAAGGACGGAGAAGAAAAGGGUCUGACGAUCCUAGAGCAUUAUUGGCGUAGCACCCCAAACCUUCAGCACCCAGGUCCUGGUGCCUUAAGGGCGCACCGCCCCACCCAAAACCCCAGAAAUCCGAUGAAUUUUCUACUCAAUUACGGGUCCUAACUCAUCUAGAAUCGAUUAGUUUCUUCCAAAACUCUCUUUGAUUCACAAACCUAACACGAAUUCAUUGAAAUUCUACAUAAUUCCUAUCAAGAAACACAACUCAUACUCAAGAAACUCAAAACCUCCAUUGUUAAAUAAUGCAGUUAAAAUCAAGAACUUCUCAAGAAUCUUUAAAUAAACAAGGGAAAAGGGUCUGAUAUACCCCUCAACUUUGUCAUUUAGAGCUGAUAUACCCCUCGUUAUGAAAGUGGCUCAUAUAUACCCCUACUUAUAUAUAAAUGGCUCACAUAUACCCUUUUCCUCUAACGAAAAUAAAAAAUAAUAAUUUCAGGUUAGUUUUUUAUUAUUUUAAAAAAUAUAUAUAAUCCCAUAUGAGUAUAUUUAAUCCUCCUCAAACAUAUAUAUAUUUUUUNNNNNNNNNNNNNNNNNNNNNNNNNNNNNNNNNNNNNNNNNNNNNNNNNNNNNNNNNNNNNNNNNNNNNNNNNNNNNNNNNNNNNNNNNNNNNAUAGUUUUAAAUUAUAAUAUAGCCACAAAAAAAUAGUUUUAAAUUUUUUUCUUUACACUAAGGAAUGAAAGAAAAAAAUAAAAUAAGAAUAAGAAACUCAAAUAAUUAUAAUAAAAGAAGUCAAAAAAUAAUUUAUGUAUGAAAAAGAUUAAAAUAUACCUUGAACUUUGCUAGAAGAAUCAUAUAUACCCCUAAAUAAUUUUUAAGAAAAUUAAAAGUCAAAAAAAUAAAUUUAAAACUAACUUUUUCACUUCCGUUAAAUGAAGGGUAUAUGUGAGCUCAUUUUGUAACAGUAGGGGUAUAUGUGAGCCGUUUGUAUAACGGUAAGGGUAUAUAUGAGCCACUUUCAUUACGAGGGGCAUAUCAGCUCCAAAUGACAAAGUUGAGGGGUAUAUCAGGCCCUUUUCCCAAUAAACAAUUUCAUUAACGAAUUCAUGGAUGAAUUACAUGUGUGGAGUGAGGAAUAAUGAUUCCAUCACUAUGGGAAACCUAACAUACCUGGAAAGAAUGAUAUUUUUGGUGAAAUUCUACAUUUUUUUAUGAACGCUUGAACUUAGCCCUUUUUCUCUUCUUGAAACUUCACUCUAAAUUUCCAAGUGUUUAGGAAUGUGAAAAAUUAACUUAGCGUCUAAUUAGACCCUUAACUUGAGUGAGGAAAACGUGGUCAAGCCUAGUGGGGUAAGGAAAAGACCAAAAUACCCUUUUCUCAAACAGAUGAAACGCCUUAACUAGAGAGGCUUCAGUCGAAUGGCCAUAACUUCUUACUCCAAGCUUGAAAUUUAGCAAACUUGGUGGCGUUGGAAAGAAGACUCAAAGACCUUCGAUUUGAUAGUUCAUGGACCAUCUAACUCUUUAUAUGCUAAAAUAUAUGGUGGUUUGAAAUUGAUCCAAAACUAAAAACUGAUCGAAGUUCGAGGUGUUACAAAUACUCUUAAAUAUAUUGAUAUAAAUUUAUACUCCCUCCGUCCCAUUUUAUGUGAGGUACUUUGACUCGGCACGGAGUUUAAGAAAGAAAGGAAGAUUUUUAAAACUUGUGGUCCAAAAUGAAUGAUAGAAAUUUGUGUGGCUGUAAAUCAUUAUAUUAAGGAUAAAAUAGACAUUUUAUAGUUAAAUUGUUACUUAAUAUAUAAAUGUGUCAUUCGUUUUGGUACUGACUAAAAAUGAAAGUAAGUCACAUAAAUUGGGACGGAGGGAGUAACAAAUUGUAGAUACACUUGAAUACAUUGAUACAAAAUGAAUAAAAUGAGCAUAUACAAUACAUUGAUAUAAAUGUAUAAUUGGUAGCAGAUACAGACAAAUACAUUUGAUACAAAUAUAUAACAAUGAACAUAUACACUCAAAUACAUUAAUACACUACAUAUACAUAUGUAUUUAUACAUGAAUAGAAUGCAUAUAUAAGUGUGUUUGAUUCCUUGAAAAAUUCAUCAAAUCUAACUCAAAUUUACACCAAAAUUCCUUGAAUUCAAGAUAUAUACUCCUUAUGAUAUAUUCAAUCUUUCAAAACAUCACUCAUUUAAAUUUAGUAACAAAUUUAUAUACCGGCAAUUUAAACUUAAUAAGCUUCAAAGUUUUCUUUCAUAGUUGUUGAUGGAGUUUCGUAAAUCAUUACGAAUCAAAGAUGACGUUGCUUUGUUGGAGCUAGGAAGCACAAUGCCGUUAAAUUUAAAUUUGGAGAUAUUUCGAAAGAAUCAUCUUUGAAAGAAAAGAAGGAAAAAUUAUUUCAACUUGAUUGUUAUAUUAAUAUAAAAAUUGGAUGUCUUACUAAGAGUUAACUAAAAUUAGUUAUAGAGCCAUUGAAGAAAUCUUAUGCAAUGUAUGUUGAUAUAUUCCAGACAUGAUCGGUUAGCCUCAUAGAAUCGGGUAAUUUUAAUAAUGAAAUACUUAACCGACUUGUGACUUGUUGCAGGAAAAGAAAGAAAAAGAUGAGCCAAACAUAUAACACCUAAAGAAGGAGAAAAUAUGUUCAUCAAUCAAGGGAUGCAGAAGAUAUUCAAGAUAGCCAAAAUCAUCAAUCAAGGCAAAGAAAUAAAAAAGGAAAGAAGUCAAAACACACUACCUCAAGAGGGAAAGCCAUGUGUUGUACGAGACACAAAAGGAAAACAAAUAAAUCAAGAUUCCAACAUUCAAGGAACAUAUCAAUCAAGAAAUAUCCAAGACCAAGCAUUAAUUCUAGAAUUUGCCUAGGAUGAAGCAAAUUAACGAAAGAUAUGAAACUCCAUCAGUCAAGGGAUACAUUCAAGAUAGCAAAUAUCAGCCAACAUCAAAAACUACAAAGGAAGAAAUUGAAAUCAAGGGUUGCAUUCAAGAUACGAAGAUUCAAG